UUACGACCAUAUCACGUUGAAACACCGGUUCUCGUCCGAUUACCGAAGUUAAACACCAUUGAUCCUGCUCAGUACCUAGAUGGGUGACCGCUUGGGAAUACCAGGUAAAGCA
Acanthosepion pharaonis is the source of this 112-nucleotide non-coding RNA. The record is from the annotation of a GenBank genome assembly. NCBI's taxonomy places the organism in Eukaryota, Metazoa, Mollusca, Cephalopoda, Sepiida, Sepiidae.